Molecule: long non-coding RNA, 1020 nt
Organism: Alnus glutinosa
Lineage: Eukaryota; Viridiplantae; Streptophyta; Magnoliopsida; Fagales; Betulaceae
Exons: 3
Source: RefSeq, a predicted model, not a curated record
CUCGCCAUUGAUACUCUCUCUCUCUCUCUCUCUGUGUGCAGAGAGAGACUCCACAGUUUCGUUCUCUCUUCAUACACUGUUUUUCUUAGCGAUUUUCCUCUGUUUCUCAAACCCUCUCUGACUCUCCAUCUUUAGCUUCAAAAUUAUGGAUACCCACUUCCCAAAACUGACAAUCACAGAAUCGAAACCCAAGAACGCAUACGAAGAGAGCCUCCCGUCGCCGCCGAGGAGAGGGCGGAUCCAACGUGAAAUUUUCAGAGGGCUGGCGGUCACAAUCAGGUACCUGUUGGGUGGGUUUGGACGAAAUCAGCCCGAAAGUGGAGGCUUUCUCAACUCAAAUUCCACAAUCACAGAAUCGAAACCCAAGAACACAUACGAAGAGAGCCUCCCGUCGCUGCCGAGGAGAGGGCGGAUCAAACGUGAAAUUUUCAGAGGGCUGGCGGUCACAAUCGGGUACCUGUUGGGUGGGUUUGGACGAAAUCAGCCCUGAAGUGGAGGCUUUCUCAACUCAAAUUCCACAACCCACCUGAUUCUUGAUCACUAAGGUCCAGGCAUACAAGAAGCCCAACUUCUGAAGCUGUGAUUUCCGGUUGGCCACAAGACAGCCAUGUCACUUGCUACACAGCAUAAAAAAUUUGAUAAAUUUGGAUCUAUCUUGGUGCCGGAAUUUAACAGGAGAGAAUUUGGGUUUGAUUGUGGAUGGUUGUUUAUCACUGAGGGUGAGCUUUUGGAUGCACUCAGAUAACAAACAUUUUUGUGGAUGGUCACUCAAAUCCAAACCUACAAAUCACUGGUUUGAAACUGUCUUCAAUAUUGGAAAAUCUCAAGGUGAUCCUCAAUAGCUGUUGAAAUAUUCCCCAAUGUCUCUUACUAUAUGGUCUUAAUUUUGCAUCAUCAGAUGCGUGAGAUUGGCAUCCUGUGGCAAUGCAUUUGCUCUUGUAAAUUGAUUGCAGUAUCAUACUGUAUGUAUGUAGUCAAAUUGAAGUGGAAAGAUUUGCAUUAGAAUCACAUUUUUGUUUA